GAUGAAGAACGUAGCGAAAUGCGAUAAGUAGUGUGAAUUGCAGAAUUCAGUGAAUCAUCGAAUCUUUGAACGCACAUUGCGCCCCCUGGUAUUCCGGGGGGCAUGCCUGUCCGAGCGUCAUUACAACCCUCAAGCUCAGCUUGGUGUUGGGCCCCGCCGCCCCGGCGGGCCCUAAAGUCAGUGGCGGUGCCGUCCGGCUCCGAGCGUAGUAAUUCUUCUCGCUCUGGAGGUCCGGUCGUGUGCUCGCCAGCACCCCCCAAUUUUUUUCAGGUUGACCUCGGAUCAGGUAGGGAUACCCGCUGAACUUAAGCAUAUCAAUAAGCGGAGGA
Molecule: unclassified non-coding RNA, 329 nt
Filed under: soil metagenome
Description: partial contains 5.8S ribosomal RNA, internal transcribed spacer 2, and large subunit ribosomal RNA
Rfam family: 5.8S ribosomal RNA (bases 1-120)
Source: RNAcentral